This 803-nucleotide ribosomal RNA is filed under the name uncultured Candidatus Nitrosopumilus sp. RNAcentral describes it as "bacterial SSU rRNA". It matches the Rfam family "Archaeal small subunit ribosomal RNA", at positions 54 to 863 of the family's 1478-position model. The record is from RNAcentral. Lineage: Archaea; Thermoproteati; Nitrososphaerota; Nitrososphaeria; Nitrosopumilales; Nitrosopumilaceae.
CGAGUCUUUGUAGUAAUACAAGGCAUACGGCUCAGUAACGCGUAGUCAACCUACCCUAUGGACAAGAAUAAUCUCGGGAAACUGAGCAUAAUUCUUGAUAGAUCAUAAUGCCUGGAAUGGUUUAUGGUUAAAAUGAUUCGUCGCCAUAGGAUGGGACUGCGGCCUAUCAGCUUGUUGGUGAGGUAAUGGCCCACCAAGGCGAUUACAGGUACGGGCUCUGAGAGGAGAAGCCCGGAGAUGGGUACUGAGACACGGACCCAGGCCCUAUGGGGCGCAGCAGGCGAGAAAACUUUGCAAUGUGCGAAAGCACGACAAGGUUAAUCCGAGUGAUUUCUGCUAAAGAAAUCUUUUGUCAGUCAUAAAACCACUGGCGAAUAAGGGGUGGGCAAGUUCUGGUGUCAGCCGCCGCGGUAAAACCAGCACCUCAAGUGGUCAGGAUGAUUAUUGGGCCUAAAGCAUCCGUAGCCGGCUCUGUAAGUUUUCGGUUAAAUCUGUACGCUCAACGUACAGGCUGCCGGGAAUACUGCAAAGCUAGGGAGUGGGAGAGGUAGACGGUACUCGGUAGGAAGGGGUAAAAUCCUUUGAUCUAUUGAUGACCACCUGUGGCGAAGGCGGUCUACCAGAACACGUCCGACGGUGAGGGAUGAAAGCUGGGGGAGCAAACCGGAUUAGAUACCCGGGUAGUCCCAGCUGUAAACCAUGCAAACUCAGUGAUGCAUUGGCUUGUGGCCAAUGCAGUGCUGCAGGGUAGCCGUUAAGUUUGCCGCCUGGGAAGUACGUACGCAAGUAUGAAACUUAAAGGA